Pecten maximus is the source of this 401-nucleotide long non-coding RNA. RefSeq lists it as uncharacterized. The record is from RefSeq and is a predicted model, not a curated record. Lineage: Eukaryota; Metazoa; Mollusca; Bivalvia; Pectinida; Pectinidae. The transcript is spliced from 3 exons.
GCAUGAAGAGAUCGUGGACACGUUGCCAGUUGCCAGAGAAUGGCUUCAAAGAAAAAUGGAUACUCCAUGAUUUCAGAAAGAAAUUUAUGCAGACAAAGGGCGAGGUGUAAAAACAAUCAAUAAAAGGCGACAUGGCGACCUCUUUCUCCCUUACCAUGGAUCUAUGAUUUCAAAAGAAAAAGGGGACAGAAGGGAAUAGCAAAGAAGCUCUGGAUUUAGUCGGGUUUUUUUUUGACUGCUGGAAACAGUUCUGUGUGGAUGCAACCGAAGAAAAUGAAUAAUUGGGAGACUGGUAAACCUUGUCCUGGUGAUGUAUGGCAAACAUUCCAAGCAAAACAUGAAAUGUGUUGAUGGCCACCUAUGUCACUUUUCAACAAGGUGAGUGUAAAUUAUCGUAAUAU